This 463-nucleotide ribosomal RNA is filed under the name uncultured bacterium. RNAcentral's name for it is "SSU rRNA". It matches the Rfam family "Bacterial small subunit ribosomal RNA", at positions 26 to 518 of the family's 1533-position model. The record is from RNAcentral.
AGGACUAACGCUGGCGGCGUGCCUAACACAUGCAAGUCGAACGAGGUAGCAAUACCUAGUGGCAGACGGGUGAGUAACGCGUGGUCAACCUACCUCUUAGUGGGGGAUAACUAGCCGAAAGGUUAGCUAAUACCGCAUACGAGUCUCGGGGGCAUCCCUGGGCCUUAAAAGGAGCAAUCCGCUCGAUGACGGGACCGCGUCCCAUUAGCUAGAUGGUGGGGUAAUGGCCUACCAUGGCUCCGAUGGGUAGCUGGUUUGAGAGAGCGACCAGCCACACUGGGACUGAGAAACGGCCCAGACUCCUACGGGAGGCAGCAGUGAGGAAUUUUCCGCAAUGGGCGAAAGCCUGACGGAGCGACGCCGCGUGUGGGAAGAAGGCCUUCGGGUCGUAAACCACUGUCGAAGGGGACGAUAAUGACGGUACCCUUGGAGGAAGCCCGGCUAACUACGCGCCAGCAGCCGC